GGAUAGGAGAAAAGACUGUUUUACCCCUCUAUAUCUUCUCCUUCACUCUUCUUCCGACGACAACCAUGGCUUUCUCUCCCAACCAAAAAAAACUUUGGAUUCAUCUCCCAACAACAACUCUCGCUUUCCAGGCCAUAAACCUCACUUCUCACCAUCUCCACCCCCAACACCAUCUCCAUCCGUUGUCAACAACAUCUCUGAUUCGAAACACAAAACCUCUCCGUCGCCCACACCAUCUCAGAUCCGAUGAUUUCAGUGGAUUCAAUUAAUUUCGUUUUGAAUAAAGGAAGCUAAACCCUAUGGGGAUACUAUCUAGUAAACCCAAGGGCUCCAAUCUAAAACAUCUAUGGAAUCAAAACUUCCAAUUCUAUUUUUAAAUCUAAACAAAUAGGUAUCGGAUCUCAUCAUCUCAUCAUCGUGACCACCAUCUUGUUCAUCGUAACUCAUCAUUUUCAACAGAUUCAACAUCUUCACCACCAUCUCCUUUACCGGAUCUCAUCACCACCACCAUCGUCAUUAAAGCGUUUUGUUGGUCGUCAACAGAGAAAUUUUUUUCUUUUUUUUUCCAGCUGUUGUUGGUAAGGGUAAUAACGUCAUUUCACUAGGCUGAGAAAUGCUUAAAAAUGAAGGCUGGACAAUCUGACCUAAAAUGAUAAUUUUUGGUAGAAUAAAUGCCAAUCCGGUAAUUGAUUCUU
Molecule: long non-coding RNA, 695 nt
Filed under: Arabidopsis lyrata
Lineage: Eukaryota; Viridiplantae; Streptophyta; Magnoliopsida; Brassicales; Brassicaceae
Description: long non-coding RNA (ALYR_LNC002583)
Source: RNAcentral